This 292-nucleotide ribosomal RNA is filed under the name uncultured bacterium. Its description in RNAcentral is "partial 16S ribosomal RNA". The record is from RNAcentral.
GGACUACCGGGGUAUCUAAUCCGGUUCGCUCCCCACGCUUUCGCGCCUCAGCGUCAGGGCACCCCCAGCCGGCCGCCUUCGCCACUGGUGUUCCUCCCGAUCUCUACGCAUUUCACCACUACACCGGGAAUUCCACCGGCCUCUAGGUCCCUCCAGUCCGGCAGUCGCCACCGCCCCCUCCCAGUUGAGCCGGGAGAUUUCACGGCAGCCUUACCGCACCACCUGCGCGCGCUUUACGCCCAAUAAAUCCGGACAACGCUUGCCACCUACGUAUUACCGCGGCGGCUGGCAC